GGAAUUGGACGAACGCUCUUCUACUCAGCUACUUGGACGUGCUCUCAAGGUCUCAGCUCAUGAGCCUCCCACUCUUCCUUGUGAAGCAGCAAAUGCAACAUACCUAAAGGUGAAUAGAGUAUUUAUUUGUACUAUAAAUGUCAUAAGAAAAAGUUGACUAUAGGCUGGUUAUAGUUUACCCAUGAUUCAUCAUGUCAUUCUUAGGUGCAUAAACUAAGGUGUACAUAAUUUAUUUUGUGGAGGAAGAAUAUGGUAACUUAAACAGUAUUACAUGUGAUGCCAUGUCGCUGCGGGGAAGCAUUCACACACUCACGUUUGGCAUGUUCCAUGCAGCAGACCUGUCGUCAUUGGUUGAGGUAAGCAACGUUUCUUGCUUUCUCAUAUAUUUAUUUUUAUUCACUAAGUUCAACCUUGUACUUGGGAAGUCAAAUCACUAUUUCUGUUCAAGGUUGUCAUGAAAAUUUCAAAAAUGGAAUGGAAUGAAUUAACAGUGCGCUUCUGCAUUUUUGACUUAGAUGUUGCAAGGCUGCGAGGUGAGGGCAGACGGUGCACGUCAUCACUGCCGCUCUCUCCUGUCUCUGUUUUUCUCUUUGCUGAAGAAAUUUCACACAACCAGGAGCAGUGAAUAGGGUUACAAUUUGUGAAUUGAGAUGUUUGUGCAGUUGCUGCACUUUUAUAACCACUUCUGAUUAGUUGCGGAUGCAAUGAUGUUUAGCUGAUGUGGAAUAUUUUUGACUAGAAUCCUUGAUUGUGUAUUUGUUCCAUUUUUAAAUUUAUUUAUUCAUGCUUCAUACACACCAGAUACAAUUUCAUCUAAGGAAAAUCAAGGUCUGAUUGAAAAAAAUUAAGUUCUUGGCACAAUUAACAUUGGAUGACCCGCCUUGCUAUAUUAUGAACAUGCUUGCUUUAAAUUAUUAGUUAAUUGAAAUAAUUUAUAAUUUUAUCUCUGUAGUUGCAUCCUCCAUAUUUUGAUAAAAUUUACAAAUGUCAGAUUUUGUUCAUUAGCAUAGGUUCAUGAAUGCCGAGCGCAUCCAAUCGACAUCGUCAAACUUUGGGCUCUAGCACUUUGCUCUGUUUGUGAGGAUGGAUCAAUAGUGCGCUCACCAAGUGGCAGCAGUAGAAGCAACACUCAAAAGGAGCGACACAACAAAGACGGAGGACGACAUCGAGCGGAGGUGAGCCACUACCAAUUUAUCAUGAAAGACUUCUGUCUCAUGUGUUACGUCUGAUUGUUUGAACUUUGUUGUUAUCAAGCUAAAGGUCUUGUGGUUUGCGCGGAUGAUUUUCUUUCAUACCCUAAAAUAUUUUCCCUUAAUAUUUCUGAAAUUAUUAUUUGUACAUUAUUUUCUGAUAUUUACCUCCUAUUUUGCAGGCUAUAUAGAAUGAUUGCAGGUUUUAAUCAAGAAGUCCUCAAUAGGUGGACUGGCUCAAAAUGGAGAAGCAUGCUGGUAGCUUUUGUGUUGAUUGUAUUAAGCAUUUAAGUUUGUAGCAAUUCAUAACGUCAAAUCAUUGGGAUGCUUUGUAAUAUUUUAGAAGACUGUGUUUCUUUGCUGGAUCUAGCGUGCUGUCUAUAGAUGUCCUUACCUACUUCCUUCUCACAUAUGGAAUGGGUUUUCGGAUAGCCUAGACAUACGGAGACAAUUUGGGGGUGUCGAUUCUCUCUCUCUCUCUCUCUCUCUCUCUCUCUCAUAGAAUAAUGAACAACCGAUAAGACUAAUAUUAUAUACCUUCUCAUCAGUCCUACAGUGCAUUAUUUGACUUUUGUGCUAAUACAAGGAGAAAGUAUGUUG
Molecule: long non-coding RNA, 1790 nt
Filed under: Triticum aestivum (bread wheat)
Lineage: Eukaryota; Viridiplantae; Streptophyta; Magnoliopsida; Poales; Poaceae
Description: long non-coding RNA (TAES_LNC021770)
Source: RNAcentral